UACGUAGGUGACCAGCGUUGUCCGGAUUUACUGGGCGUAAAGAGCUCGUAGGCGGUCUGUCGCGUCGGAUGUGAAAACUCGGGGCUCAACCCCGGGCCUGCAUUCGAUACGGGCAGACUAGAGUACGGCAGGGGAGACUGGAAUUCCUGGUGUAGCGGUGAAAUGCGCAGAUAUCAGGAGGAACACCGGUGGCGAAGGCGGGUCUCUGGGCCGAAACUGACGCUGAGGAGCGAAAGCGUGGGGAGCAAACAGG
This 253-nucleotide ribosomal RNA is filed under the name uncultured bacterium. RNAcentral's name for it is "partial 16S ribosomal RNA". It matches the Rfam family "Bacterial small subunit ribosomal RNA", at positions 524 to 776 of the family's 1533-position model. The record is from RNAcentral.